CAGGAAAGAACAAAUUCAAAUAUGCAAGCAAGGGCACCAUUUUCACUCAUAGUAACAUGUUGGCUUUGGUGGACCAGAAAGCUGGCAGCAAGAGACUGCUGGAGCCAUUUGCUACUAUUUCUUCCUCUCUAAUGCACCCUUCUGUCCUUUCACUGAUGACUACUGAGAGGUUUGGGGGAAAGAGAACCAAUUACAGAAUGCCAAUGCAUGUUCCAAAAUCCACUCAAGGGACUUACAUCUGGCAGAGUCUACUAUAUAUGGUGAUAAAUAUUGUUCUAGGAAAUUUUCCUGGACUCCCUGAAAACCAAGAGGAGGAGGAAGAAGAAGAAGAAGAAGAAGAAGAAGAAGAAGAAGAAGAAGAAGAAGAAGAAGAAGAAGAAGAAGAAGAAGAAGAAGAAGAAGAAGAAGAAGAAGAAGAAGAAGAACUUAGACAUCACACUAAAAGAAAUUAUCAAGAAAUCUUCCCUGAUAUUCUAGAAUCAGAAAGGAAAAUAGAAAUUGAAAGAAUGCACUGACCACUUAUUGAAAGAGAUUCCCAUAAGGUAAAAUGCAAGAAAUAUUAUAGCCAAAUUCCAGGGCUCCUAGAGCAAAGAAGAAAUAUUUCAAGUAGCCCAAGAGAAACAAUUCAAAAAUCAUGAAGCCACAAUCAGGAUUAUUUAGUAUUUACCAACUUCUACUUUAAAACAUCAAUGAGAUUAGGAUAAAAUAAUCCAGAAAACAAAGGAACUAUGAUUACAACCUAGAACCACCUGCCCAGUGAAACUCAAUAAAAUACUUCAAGGGGAAUAAAUGGAUAUUUGG
Molecule: long non-coding RNA, 801 nt
Filed under: Monodelphis domestica (gray short-tailed opossum)
Lineage: Eukaryota; Metazoa; Chordata; Mammalia; Didelphimorphia; Didelphidae
Description: lncRNA (ENSMODG00000039196.1)
Source: RNAcentral